Molecule: ribosomal RNA, 1141 nt
Filed under: uncultured bacterium
Lineage: Bacteria
Description: bacterial SSU rRNA
Rfam family: Bacterial small subunit ribosomal RNA
Source: RNAcentral
AUCUGUUAUCAAUUAAAGAAUUUCGGAAACGGAUAGGCUCGCGUGACAUUAGCUAGAUGGCGGGGUAACGGCCCACCAUGGCGACGAUGUCUAGGGGUUCUGAGAGGAAGGUCCCCCACACUGGAACUGAGACACGGUCCAGACUCCUACGGGAGGCAGCAGUGAGGAAUAUUGGUCAAUGGUCUGACGACUGAACCAGCCAUGCCGCGUGAAGGUGACGGCCCUAUGGGUCUUAAACUUCUUUUGCAAGGGAGCAAUAAGGCGUACGUGUACGUCGAUGAGAGUACCUUGCGAAUAAGCAUCGGCUAACUCCGUGCCAGCAGCCGCGGUAAUACGGGGGAUGCAAGCGUUAUCCGGAUUUAUUGGGUUUAAAGGGUGCGUAGGCGGUCUGGUAAGUCAGCGGUGAAAUUUAGGGGCUCAACCUCUACCGUGCCGUUGAUACUGUCAGGCUAGAAUGCGGAUGCCGUGGGAGGAAUGUGUGGUGUAGCGGUGAAAUGCAUAGAUAUCACACAGAACACCGAUUGCGAAGGCAUCUCACGAAUCCGCGAUUGACGCUGAUGCACGAAAGCGUGGGGAUCAAACAGGAUUAGAUACCCUGGUAGUCCACGCUGUAAACGAUGAUGACUAACCGUCGGCGAUACACAGUCGGUGGCCAAGCGAAAGCGAUAAGUCAUCCACCUGGGGAGUACGACCGCAAGGUUGAAACUCAAAGGAAUUGACGGGGGCCCGCACAAGCGGAGGAACAUGUGGUUUAAUUCGAUGAUACGCGAGGAACCUUACCCGGGCUCGAACGGCAGAUGAAUUGAGUAGAGAUAUUCAAGUCUUCGGACAUCUGUCGAGGUGCUGCAUGGUUGUCGUCAGCUCGUGCUGUGAAGUGUCGGCUUAAGUGCCAUAACGAGCGCAACCCUUGCCGUUAGUUGCCAUCAGGUCAAGCUGGGGACUCUAGCGGGACUGCCACCGCAAGGUGUGAGGAAGGGGGGGAUGACGUCAAAUCAGCACGGCCCUUACGUCCGGGGCGACACACGUGUUACAAUGGUGGGUACAGAGGGAAGCUACCUGGCGACAGGAUGCAGAUCUCGAAAACCCAUCCCAGUUCGGAUUGGAUUCUGCAACCCGACUCCAUGAAGUUGGAUUCGCUAGU